This 2900-nucleotide ribosomal RNA is filed under the name Escherichia coli. RNAcentral's name for it is "bacterial LSU rRNA". It matches the Rfam family "Bacterial large subunit ribosomal RNA". The record is from RNAcentral. Lineage: Bacteria; Pseudomonadati; Pseudomonadota; Gammaproteobacteria; Enterobacterales; Enterobacteriaceae.
UAAGCGACUAAGCGUACACGGUGGAUGCCCUGGCAGUCAGAGGCGAUGAAGGACGUGCUAAUCUGCGAUAAGCGUCGGUGAGGUGAUAUGAACCGUUAUAACCGGCGAUUUCCGAAUGGGGAAACCCAGUGUGUUUCGACACACUAUCAUUAACUGAAUCCAUAGGUUAAUGAGGCGAACCGGGGGAACUGAAACAUCUAAGUACCCCGAGGAAAAGAAAUCAACCGAGAUUCCCCCAGUAGCGGCGAGCGAACGGGGAGGAGCCCAGAGCCUGAAUCAGUGUGUGUGUUAGUGGAAGCGUCUGGAAAGGCGCGCGAUACAGGGUGACAGCCCCGUACACAAAAAUGCACAUAUUGUGAGCUCGAUGAGUAGGGCGGGACACGUGGUAUCCUGUCUGAAUAUGGGGGGACCAUCCUCCAAGGCUAAAUACUCCUGACUGACCGAUAGUGAACCAGUACCGUGAGGGAAAGGCGAAAAGAACCCCGGCGAGGGGAGUGAAAAAGAACCUGAAACCGUGUACGUACAAGCAGUGGGAGCCUCUUUAUGGGGUGACUGCGUACCUUUUGUAUAAUGGGUCAGCGACUUAUAUUCUGUAGCAAGGUUAACCGAAUAGGGGAGCCGAAGGGAAACCGAGUCUUAACUGGGCGUUAAGUUGCAGGGUAUAGACCCGAAACCCGGUGAUCUAGCCAUGGGCAGGUUGAAGGUUGGGUAACACUAACUGGAGGACCGAACCGACUAAUGUUGAAAAAUUAGCGGAUGACUUGUGGCUGGGGGUGAAAGGCCAAUCAAACCGGGAGAUAGCUGGUUCUCCCCGAAAGCUAUUUAGGUAGCGCCUCGUGAAUUCAUCUCCGGGGGUAGAGCACUGUUUCGGCAAGGGGGUCAUCCCGACUUACCAACCCGAUGCAAACUGCGAAUACCGGAGAAUGUUAUCACGGGAGACACACGGCGGGUGCUAACGUCCGUCGUGAAGAGGGAAACAACCCAGACCGCCAGCUAAGGUCCCAAAGUCAUGGUUAAGUGGGAAACGAUGUGGGAAGGCCCAGACAGCCAGGAUGUUGGCUUAGAAGCAGCCAUCAUUUAAAGAAAGCGUAAUAGCUCACUGGUCGAGUCGGCCUGCGCGGAAGAUGUAACGGGGCUAAACCAUGCACCGAAGCUGCGGCAGCGACACUAUGUGUUGUUGGGUAGGGGAGCGUUCUGUAAGCCUGUGAAGGUGGCCUGUGAGGGUUGCUGGAGGUAUCAGAAGUGCGAAUGCUGACAUAAGUAACGAUAAAGCGGGUGAAAAGCCCGCUCGCCGGAAGACCAAGGGUUCCUGUCCAACGUUAAUCGGGGCAGGGUGAGUCGACCCCUAAGGCGAGGCCGAAAGGCGUAGUCGAUGGGAAACAGGUUAAUAUUCCUGUACUUGGUGUUACUGCGAAGGGGGGACGGAGAAGGCUAUGUUGGCCGGGCGACGGUUGUCCCGGUUUAAGCGUGUAGGCUGGUUUUCCAGGCAAAUCCGGAAAACCAAGGCUGAGCGUGAUGACGAGGCACUACGGUGCUGAAGCGACAAAUGCCCUGCUUCCAGGAAAAGCCUCUAAGCAUCAGGUAACAUCAAAUCGUACCCCAAACCGACACAGGUGGUCAGGUAGAGAAUACCAAGGCGCUUGAGAGAACUCGGGUGAAGGAACUAGGCAAAAUGGUGCCGUAACUUCGGGAGAAGGCACGCUGAUAUGUAGGUGAAGCGACUUGCUCGUGGAGCUGAAAUCAGUCGAAGAUACCAGCUGGCUGCAACUGUUUAUUAAAAACACAGCACUGUGCAAACACGAAAGUGGACGUAUACGGUGUGACGCCUGCCCGGUGCCGGAAGGUUAAUUGAUGGGGUUAGCGGUAACGCGAAGCUCUUGAUCGAAGCCCCGGUAAACGGCGGCCGUAACUAUAACGGUCCUAAGGUAGCGAAAUUCCUUGUCGGGUAAGUUCCGACCUGCACGAAUGGCGUAAUGAUGGCCAGGCUGUCUCCACCCGAGACUCAGUGAAAUUGAACUCGCUGUGAAGAUGCAGUGUACCCGCGGCAAGACGGAAAGACCCCGUGAACCUUUACUAUAGCUUGACACUGAACAUUGAGCCUUGAUGUGUAGGAUAGGUGGGAGGCUUUGAAGUGUGGACGCCAGUCUGCAUGGAGCCGACCUUGAAAUACCACCCUUUAAUGUUUGAUGUUCUAACGUUGGCCCGUAAUCCGGGUUGCGGACAGUGUCUGGUGGGUAGUUUGACUGGGGCGGUCUCCUCCUAAAGAGUAACGGAGGAGCACGAAGGUUGGCUAAUCCUGGUCGGACAUCAGGAGGUUAGUGCAAUGGCAUAAGCCAGCUUGACUGCGAGCGUGACGGCGCGAGCAGGUGCGAAAGCAGGUCAUAGUGAUCCGGUGGUUCUGAAUGGAAGGGCCAUCGCUCAACGGAUAAAAGGUACUCCGGGGAUAACAGGCUGAUACCGCCCAAGAGUUCAUAUCGACGGCGGUGUUUGGCACCUCGAUGUCGGCUCAUCACAUCCUGGGGCUGAAGUAGGUCCCAAGGGUAUGGCUGUUCGCCAUUUAAAGUGGUACGCGAGCUGGGUUUAGAACGUCGUGAGACAGUUCGGUCCCUAUCUGCCGUGGGCGCUGGAGAACUGAGGGGGGCUGCUCCUAGUACGAGAGGACCGGAGUGGACGCAUCACUGGUGUUCGGGUUGUCAUGCCAAUGGCACUGCCCGGUAGCUAAAUGCGGAAGAGAUAAGUGCUGAAAGCAUCUAAGCACGAAACUUGCCCCGAGAUGAGUUCUCCCUGAGACUUAGAGUCUCCUGAAGGAACGUUGAAGACGACGACGUUGAUAGGCCGGGUGUGUAAGCGCAGCGAUGCGUUGAGCUAACCGGUACUAAUGAACCGUGAGGCUUAACCUU